RNAcentral lists this ribosomal RNA (404 nucleotides) under uncultured bacterium. RNAcentral's name for it is "bacterial SSU rRNA". It matches the Rfam family "Bacterial small subunit ribosomal RNA", at positions 355 to 775 of the family's 1533-position model. The record is from RNAcentral.
UGAGGAAUCUUGCACAAUGGGGGAAACCCUGAUGCAGCAACGCCGCGUGGAGGAAGACGGCCUUCGGGUUGUAAACUCCUUUUAUUUGGGACGAACAUUGACGGUACCAAAUGAAUAAGAGGUGGCUAACUAUGUGCCAGCAGCCGCGGUAAUACAUAGACCUCGAGCGUUAUCCGGAUUUACUGGGCGUAAAGCGUGCGUAGGUGUCUUUUUAAGUCUCUGGUGAAAUCUCCGGGCCCAACUCGGAAACUGUCAGAGAAACUGGAAGGAUAGAGUACGGCAGAGGCAGACGGAAUUCUCAGUGUAGCGGUAAAAUGCGUAGAUAUUGAGAAGAACACCGAUGGCGAAGGCAGUCUGCUGGGCCGUUACUGACACUGAGGUACGAAAGCGUGGGGAGCGAACGG